RNAcentral lists this transfer RNA (85 nucleotides) under Felis catus (domestic cat). It matches the Rfam family "tRNA". Rfam says of the family: Transfer RNA (tRNA) molecules are approximately 80 nucleotides in length. The record is from Rfam by way of RNAcentral. Lineage: Eukaryota; Metazoa; Chordata; Mammalia; Carnivora; Felidae.
ACCUGGGUGGCUCAGUCGGUUGAGCGUCUGACUUUGGCUCAGGUCAUGAUCUCAUGGUCCGUGAGUUCGAGCCCCGCAUCAGGCU